GAGCACGUAGGUGGGUUUGUAAGUCAGAUGUGAAUGCCUUCUGUUCAACGGAAGAAUUGCAUCUGAAACUGCGAGUCUUGAGUGUAGGAGGGGAGAAUGGAACUUCUGGUGGAGCGGUGAAAUGCGUAGAUAUCAGAAGGAACUCCGGCGGCGAAAGCGAUUCUCUGGCCUAUUACUGACACUCAGUGCGCGAAAGCUAGGGGAGCAAACGGGAUUAGAUACCCCGGUAGUCCUAGCCGUAAACGAUGGGCACUAAGUAGAGGGGUUUU
This 269-nucleotide ribosomal RNA is filed under the name uncultured Planctomycetales bacterium. RNAcentral describes it as "partial 16S ribosomal RNA". It matches the Rfam family "Bacterial small subunit ribosomal RNA", at positions 565 to 832 of the family's 1533-position model. The record is from RNAcentral. Lineage: Bacteria; Pseudomonadati; Planctomycetota; Planctomycetia; Planctomycetales.